GACGAACGCUGGCGGCGUGCUUAACACAUGCAAGUCGAACGGAAAGGCCUGCUUUCCCUUGUGGAUUGCGGGUACUCGAGUGGCGAACGGGUGAGUAACACGUGAGUGAUCUGCCCCCAACUUGGGUAUAAGCCUGGGAAACUGGGUCUAAUUCCCGAUAGGACUGCAGGGUGGUGCCUGUGGUGGAAAACGAUUUUCUAGUGGUUGGGGAUGAGCUCGCGGCCUAUCAGCUUGUUGGUGGGGUAAUGGCCUACCAAGGCGGCGACGGUUAGCCGGCCUGAGAGGGUGGACGGCCACAUUGGGACUGAGAUACGGCCCAGACUCCUACGGGAGGCAGCAGUGGGGAAUAUUGCACAAUGGGCGGAAGCCUGAUGCAGCGACGCCGCGUGGGGGAUGACGGCCUUCGGGUUGUAAACUCCUUUCGACCGCGAGGAAGCCACCUGGUUGGAAGGGUGGUGACGGUAGUGGUAGAAGAAGCACCGGCUAACUACGUG
Molecule: ribosomal RNA, 494 nt
Filed under: uncultured bacterium
Lineage: Bacteria
Description: partial 16S ribosomal RNA
Rfam family: Bacterial small subunit ribosomal RNA
Source: RNAcentral